This 420-nucleotide unclassified non-coding RNA is filed under the name Hevea brasiliensis (rubber tree). The record is from RNAcentral. Lineage: Eukaryota; Viridiplantae; Streptophyta; Magnoliopsida; Malpighiales; Euphorbiaceae.
GUGAUAUGGCAGGGGAUCCAUUUUGGGUAACACGAUUAAUUGGAUACCCAGUUUUAUCUGAUAUGCAGAAUUCGGAGAUGCAGUGCAGUGAUAUAGGAUGUGGAGCUCACACAGAUUACGGUCUUUUGACACUAGUCAAUCAAGAUAAUGACAUUCAUGCACUUCAGGUGAGAAACCGAUCUGGCGAGUGGAUAUGUGCAGUUCCUAUUCCCAGGACUUUCGUCUGUAACAUCGGUGACAUGCUGAAGGUUUGGUCCAAUGGAGUGUAUGAACCGACCCUACACAAAGUAAUCAACAACUCCCCAAAGUAUCGUGUAUCCGUUGCUUUCUUUUAUGAGCCGAAUUUCGAUACCGGUGUCGAGCCAUUUGAUUUUUGCAAGCUAAAGACGGGCGGUGAAGCAAAAUUUGAAAGGGUUGUUU